AUAAAUAUACAAUUGCAGCUGCUUAGCUAAAAAAUGUUAAUCGGAAGAAGCAAAAGUGGAUGGCGUGGUGCCAGUAAGAUGGCAUGGAUAUGAUCUAGUCUCAAUUAAGUUAGUCGCAGACUGUUUACCUGUUCCAAUCUAAUCUAGUGGAUUCAAAAAGAAGGGACCGCGCUGGAAACAUGAGUGGAUUAGAAGGAUCAGCCUUUUUUGAAUUAAUAGUUGAAGUGGUAACCAGCUAGAAGUCGUAACCUGCUCGUAUGAAAGGUGAAAUUGUUAAUUUUAUUCAGCAACGCCAAGAAACAGAGCUCGCUCAAGAAACAGAAAAGAAAGAGAAAAAUGAAAAUAUAUUCUGUUGAAC
Hydra vulgaris (swiftwater hydra) is the source of this 358-nucleotide long non-coding RNA. RefSeq lists it as uncharacterized. NCBI's taxonomy places the organism in Eukaryota, Metazoa, Cnidaria, Hydrozoa, Anthoathecata, Hydridae. The record is from RefSeq and is a predicted model, not a curated record.